This is an RNA transcript of Falco peregrinus (peregrine falcon), 14564 nucleotides long. It is a transcript of the gene named ELAV like RNA binding protein 1, with no coding region annotated. NCBI's taxonomy places the organism in Eukaryota, Metazoa, Chordata, Aves, Falconiformes, Falconidae. The transcript has 9 exons. The record is from RefSeq and is a predicted model, not a curated record.
AUAUAUUGUAAAAUGUCUAAUGGUUAUGAAGAUCACAUGGCUGAAGAUUGCAGGGAUGAUAUUGGUAGAACAAACUUAAUUGUGAACUACCUCCCUCAGAACAUGACGCAAGAUGAAUUACGGAGUCUAUUUAGCAGUAUUGGCGAAGUUGAAUCUGCAAAACUUAUUCGGGACAAAGUUGCAGGACACAGCUUAGGCUAUGGCUUUGUGAACUACGUUACCGCAAAAGAUGCUGAAAGAGCAAUAAACACACUGAAUGGCCUCAGACUUCAGUCAAAAACUAUCAAGGUUUCUUAUGCUCGUCCAAGUUCUGAAGUUAUCAAGGAUGCUAAUUUAUAUAUUAGUGGACUACCAAGGUCGAUGACACAAAAAGAUGUAGAAGACAUGUUCUCACGUUUUGGACGCAUUAUCAACUCACGUGUGCUUGUGGAUCAAACUACAGGUUUGUCCAGAGGGGUCGCAUUUAUCCGGUUUGACAAAAGGUCAGAAGCAGAAGAGGCAAUUACAAAUUUCAAUGGUCACAAACCCCCAGGUUCCUCCGAACCCAUUACAGUGAAGUUUGCAGCCAAUCCUAACCAGAACAAAAAUGUGGCACUGUUAUCGCAGCUGUGUCAUUCACCAGCUAGACGGUUUGGAGGGCCAGUGCAUCACCAGGCGCAAAGAUUCAGGCCUUCAGCCCAGGACAAGCGUAGCGAUUUAUCAGAUCAGCUGAAUUGCAGUAGGAGCCCGCUCAACUCAUUGAAUUGGAUUAUUGUUGUGCAAUUUGGAAUUUGGUAUUUUUUUCAGAAGAAUCUGGACUGUGUUCAUGAGUAGUUACUCCACUAAAGAUUUUGUUACUUGUAGCCUUAUUAGAAAGGUGGAAUUAAAAGAAGGCGCAUGAUUUCCUUUUUAUUUUUCAGGAAAAAAAUGUUGUUCUCUCUGUCUUACGGUGUUCGUCCUGAUUAAACCAAAAAGCAAGCCCAGCUACACUAUUACUCAGAAAUGUCUGUUGAAGACAGCUCUUGGGAAGAAGAAAUCCAUCGGUCUUCAGGUCAGGCAGGGUACGCUGGUUCCUUUAGGAGGAACCUUCAUCUGAUGUAGGAUAAGGCAUCCUGAUGUCGUGGCCACAGGGGAGGUUGUGCAAAGUCACCUUUUUAAGAAAGGCUGAGGAAAAGCCAUGUCCUCUCAGCUGGAAAGAACCCGUAUGCUGCUGUCGGCUCGGAACACUCUGUAUUCAAGUCUUAGUCCCUUUUUUCACCCACGCAAAUUUUCAAACUUUUGAUCAAUUGAAAUUGGCUCCUCCUGAUUUUCAGCAGCUGCCUUGCUGUGUUCUUCAGUCACAGAAAUGAUCGGUCUCUUUUCAGAGCUGGGCUAGUUAUCAUACCUUUGAGGUGUUGGUUCUGAUUUUUCCCUUAAUGACUUACCUGUGAAAAGGGAUGUAAAAUAAGAAAAAAGUAGUCUCUUGUAUAUGAUAACAUGGAAUGGAUGGCGAUGCUCUUUUUUCAAAAGGAAACCAAAAGAUUUAGUGCAGACCUGUUAACCCCCACUUGGAGUUUCUGUUUUUUGCAGAAUUCCCAAUAAAUGCCUGGCUUUAGACUCUUCCCUCACUUGCUCUGUUGUGGGGACUGUUGGGGUGUCACCCCCUUCAUUUCCAGAAUACUAGGGUAGAAAAAAAAUAAGGGGGGGGAGGGGGUGGGGGGAAGGUGUUAAAUUAUGCUGAUUUCCAUCUUACUGGUACAUCAGCAAGCAAGGCAGAAAAAAAUGUCAUCCUGUCUUUGUGUUUUUUCCUGUAUCUCCAAUCUUUAAAAAGCAACAUGGAAAAAUAUUAAUAUUGGGAAUGUCCUCCUGGGUCACGUUAAUGUAAAAAAAACCCAAUGAGGGUUUUGUCUCCAGCAGUGGCAGCAAGAGCAGCUAUUUAAGGAAAGGACAUUAAGCCUGGCCACCAUCCCCUCUUCAUUCCCCUCGUGCUUCCCCAGCACACACAGCAGUUGGAUGUUAGAGGGGCCCUGCCUGUUCCCCUCAUACCUCUUCUCCUUUUGCUUCUUGGUUUUUGAAUCUACUUUACUUUUCCUUACACUGUCUUCUGCUUUCAUCACUUGCUGACAGCAGGAGACUGGAAGAAAAAGUGGAACGUUUGGGGUAACUUUUUUACAUGUGUGUGUUACCCGUGUGCAGUUGAAUGAAGGUGAAUAAAUAGCAGCGUUCCACUCUUCACACUGUGAUAUGUUUUCUUUGUUUAUUUCCUUUUAAAGGAUUUAUGGAUAGAAGCAGUGAACUUAGCAAAAUGGGAAAUCUGAAUCUAGUUUGUCAGAACAUAAGAUCUGUGUUUUAACUGUGACAAAUUUUAUUGCAGAAAAAAAAUAUUUGCCAAUAGAUUUUUUUUUUUUUUGCCAGAAGUUAUUUGUUUGAAUUGUGAGCAUAGGACAUACAGCUUUAAAUGUUGAACUUUUCAAAAUGGAUUGACCUCUCUGCAGAGCUGUAGGUGGAGCACUUACUCUCAAGAAUAUGUCCUCAAACUAGAAAUUACAAGGAAAUUCACUGAGUUUAAUAAAAAUUAGUUUGGGGCUUCCUGUGUAGGUAUCAGUGGACCUCUUAAUCUUACUUUAACUGAAAUUCUGUUUGAAUGUGUUGGAACAGAUUCCGCCCCCGAGUGCAUGCUGCAGCCAGCGUAGCAUUCAGCCCGUGUGUGCUACAAAGAAAGAUGAUAAAGGAGAGAGCAAAGCAGCAAUGGGCUUAGGAGCACUGUUGAGUCAGCAUAAACGGUGCUGAGCUGCUUCCUUCUCGUAGACUUCGGUAGGCUCCAGCUCAGGGAUCAGGGAAGGAGCGUGCGCUCGCGCUUGUGGGAUUUCCAGGCUGCAUUGCAGGUGCAGCCAUGGUAAGUAAGCGUGCGUGCUUCUCUAGAGUCAUGGCACAAACAGUUACGGUCUCGAUCUAACCAGACUUCCAAAAUUUGGGAUGAAACGUUUUUGUGACCAUACAUCCUACUUCACCUUUCUGUCCCAGAUGGUUCCUGCUGCUUUGCAUCUUCCAAGAGACGCAGUACACGUACACGUGUAUCCCUGUGCGUGCAUGUGUGUAUGACAACGUAUGUAGACUCUAUUUAUAGAUACUUUGUUUAGAAUCCAUGUGUCUAUCUGUUAAUUGUCUGUAUUAGCAUUGUGUGUCUGCUGUGUUGCGCAUAUAUGCUAUUCCACAUGCCUACACAGUAUGGAAGUAAUUAAUACAAAGAUGGAUAUCCUUAAAAAUCCAAGUUUUAUAUAAAACUUUAUAAGGUAUUGUUAAAAACAGUACAGUAAUAUGAUGAGCAAGCUAUGGAAGUUUAAGAAAAUUAAUCUCCCGCUGGAUGAAAAUUUAACAUCCAAAUUUUUAUCAAGUUUCUCUUGAAAUAACUCUAGAAAAUGGCCACAUCUAUAUAUUAUAUCUUAAUAUUUCUCAGCAGUGGUCCUGAAAUGCACAAUAUCACUGCUUUUCAGGGAGCACCUCCCAUUCGUUUCUCCCUGUGACACAAAAUGCCAUCACUUCUUUGGCAGUCGGUGACUUGUGAAAUAAUUUUCCUUUUGGUUUAAGCCACCUUUACUACUUUUUUUUUUUUUUUUUCCCCCUUUCUGUUUUGACCAUAUUUCAUGGGCCUUAAUAUUUUAAUCCUUUCUUACUGCAGGAGUGGAGGAAGGAAGACAAUUCAGCUUCGAGAAGGACUGUGAUUCUAGUGAAAUGGCAGUGACUGACGGCGUAUGCCAUGGCACACAGCUUGGUUGCCUGGGGUGCAUCCCCAGGCCCUACUCCCUCCACCCCUAUCACUGGAUUCCAGGACAGACAUCCUGGCUGCUUGUGCUAGCUUAGGUAAAACACAUGGAAGCCUUGCCCAAGUGUCUUAAGUGCUUCUUUUCUGCAACAAGGCAAAGUUAAGGUUUGAGCUGCGACACAUUUUGAUGUCUUUGUCUCGGUCAGUCACUCAGCUAGCUUGUAAGGAUUUGCACCGGUUGUUUUAUCGCAGCGUCUCCAGUGCUGUGAUAGUUCCUAGGGAGCGUUCUGCCCGUCCUUAUUUGCGUUCUGUGUUAUUUACACGCAGUAAUUCUCAAAGGCAGUGCAAGAGAUGCAGGGCGAGGUGGAGUCUUGUUCUGAACCUUUGUGCUUUCCCCUUGGUCUGGGUGUACAGCAUGCUCAGCUGGGCAUGUUGGAGCCUCGCGUGCUGUUGGACUGCCGGUGGCCUUGAGGGAGGAAUGUUUGCCCUGAAUUUGGCCUCUCCACGUUCAUAAAAAAAAAAAAAAAAAAAAAAGUACUGACCUUACAGAAGAACAGCUCUAAUAUCCGCUGCAUGGAAUCUGAUUUCCCAAGAUACACGCUGGGUUUGGGUAAGGGAAUAAUGCAAGCUGGCCAUAUCCAGGAAGGAACAAAAAGGGAAAAGGACAAGGUUGGGGUUUUUUUGUUGAAUUAGUGAGAUUAAGCAGCCUGACGUAAUUUGUGAAACAGCUUUGCAGAGAGUAACUCGGUGACGGUCUCGUAGCUGCUGGGUGUUAAAUGCGGCAGACGGAGGGUGUCUGUGUAGGAGCAUUAGCAGCAGCGCUCCGUGUCGGUGUGGGGCAGCGAGCUGUUCCAGUGGGAAAUCCAAGUCAUUUCACUUGUUUGCUCCGUGGGGCAAGUGGGCAGCGUCUAAAUUGUAAGUAAACAUUUCAUUGUCCAGAUCAAAGGAGGAAAAGAUCUGUGUUGCCCUAACAAGAAUGAGGAUGACAGGGUUUUGCUCAGAAGCGUUUGGCUUUUGUAGUAGAUGUGCUAGAAUGGGAUCAUCUCGCCUGCUGGCCAGUGCUGCUGCAGCUGCUGCUGCUGCUGGAGCUGUGCUGUCAGCUGGGCUUCUUGUUGGAGCUAGCUGAACGAGAAAUUCCUUCCAGUGGCCACACUUCCGUACUGUUGGCACUCAUAUCUGUGCAAAAGCUUAAUAGAUUAUGAAGAUGAUGCGAUACAGCUUCAGAAAUGUUUUUGUUGUGAGAGAAUUUUAGAUACUGAAGUCCUAAAAACAAAACAAAACAAAAAAACAAUAAUUCUACGCUAUUGUAGAUGUAAGUGAGACUCCAAAGGUGAAUUCUGGAUAUCGCUUUAGGUCAUGGUGUAGCUAUAAAUGCUCUCAAUUUCCAGCAUCUUACACCAGCCCUCCACGAUCAUCUGAUUUGUACUGGUAAAACUGUUGGUAGGAUUUACUUAAACUGGCAGCACGGGAGGGGGGAAGCUCAGAGUGGCCAGUUAGUGAUUUCUCUCACUUCCAAACAGGCUGGAGCAGGAGAGAAGCUGCUUGGAUGUCUCGCUCCCAGGUGCGGUGUGCGAAGGGCUCACGUGGGAACAGGUAGAAGGGCUCAAGCCUUUUGCUGUGCUGGUAGUUUUCAACAGAGCCAUCCUGCUUUUCUCAUUCUGACAACGAACCGGUUGAGUGGUUUGGUGGAUUUCUAGCUGGGGACUGGAAGCGAGUGUGACAUGUAAGUGGAGGCUAUAGCGAAAUGAAUCAUGCACACAGAGAAACCUGUUGAACAGGCAAAAUUUUCAACUUCGAACAGCUUAGCACCUCUCUAGAGUAAAGUUAGUGAUGGCAUCGCAGUGGUAACAGGCACGGUUUGCUGUCCAGAGCCAGCCAGGGUGUUGGGGUGCUCAUCACCGAAUUAAUGUCCUUGUCAGAAUUGCCUCUGUAAGACUGGCUUGGAGCAGCGUGUUCCUGAUGGAGUUGCAGAUGAAAACCAGAGGCUGUCCCUUGGGUGGGGGGCGCAGGGGCUCGUGUAGCUGAUGGAGCACCUUGCUGUGGGUGCUGCCAGGGAGCGUCGGGCAUUCAUCCAGCCCCUGUGGCCAGAGACCUGCUGAGCCGAGGCAGUUCUGUCUGUCCAUGACUCCUCGUAGCUGUGUCAGCGGAGGCACCUAAGCCUGAAUUCUUCAUUACAAAACAGGGUGUUGUUACGAGACCGGUUUUCUUUGUUGGGGCACCAGGGUGCCGGUGUGUCUUGUCCCCAGCCACAGCCUCGUUCAGAGGAGCUGGAAUUACGUGGAUGCAGGGGCAGCGGUGGAUGUCCUCGGUGGGUUGGAAGGCAGCUGCAGUCCUCCUCAGGCUUUCCGAUUUGUUGUUGGGUUGGUUUUUUUUCCACUCUUCCUCCUGAAUGUGGUUUUUUUAUUGCUAUUUGAGUACUUUGAAGUCCGAUGGCUAUCACAGUUACUCUCUUUGUAUGAUGAUGGUGAGUGGUAGUUGUAUAUCCAGCUGUCAGGGCAUUCCAGACACCUUUCUGUCGGUGCUUUUCUUAAAAUAAAAACAUUUUCUACGGGGCUGUAAAGUCUACGCCAUUCAAAUUCCUCACUGAGCUGCACCUUGUUACACUAGCAAGAACGUAUAGAAGCUCUCAGAAAAUUCAGAACGUCAAACAGGCGUGAGCUUUGUUCUUCAGAUUGCACUACUACUUAAAGAAAUGGUCAAACUUUUACAUAUCUUUGUAAAAUAAGGCUGCUGCUGUGUACUUUGCUUCCAUUUUCAUUAGACCCCUUUCUCAGCUUCCAGAAGUUGAUGCUGUAGUUUGGAAGGCCAGGACUGUAGAGCCUAAGAUUUAAGGGGGGUGGGGUAGGUGUCAACAUUUUUCUUACAAACAGAACCCAUGCAAAUGAAGAAAUAAUCAAAGUUAGGAACAUACCGCUUGUAAAUUAGGGAAGGUAGAACUUACUAGCUUGCGUAACUGAAAUGCUGAGCCCUUGCAUUGUGCAUUUUGAGUAUUCUACGUGUUCAUAGACUAGUUUUGUUAUUUUGGUUUGCCUUUUACUUUGCAUCACUCUUAAUUCCAUUCUAGAGAACUUUGGUUCAGUAAGGAGCUUAAUACGCUUAAGUCAGUGACACCUAAGAGCUGCAAGCAAAGGGAUAAUGAAAGCAUAUACCUUGUUUUUUAUCCUGGGGUUAGAGUACAGGACAGUAGUUUUCAUUUUACACCAGUGAAUUUGAAUAGUAAAGUAAUGAUGCUAGGCUCUUACCGUCUUUUUACUUUUUCUACCAGAGUCUCCUUAUGUAGCAUAAGACAAGCUACUCGAUUCUUCUGAUUUUACUCCUCUUCUGACCCGUUAGGUACCAUCAUCUGAUUUUUUUAAUCCCUAUCUUUCAGAGUACGUGUGUGGGUUAAUUGUUACAGUCUCUUCUAGCACUUUGAACUUAAUAUUUUAGUUGCAUAAUGUUUGGUCAUUAGAAUAACACAGUUAUCCAGGUUAUCCCUGUCUGCUAAGCCAGUGUAUCCAACACUAAAUAGCUAGUCGUACACACCCUGUUCCCAGCCUAGGUCUAGAGGCACGGGGAGCAACUGCAUCUUGUGUUUUCUCCAGUAACAUAAUUUUUACUAGCUGUCUCCCCAGAUGGAGAGCAGCACAUUGCAGCCCGGUUGUGUUGGUCUUGCUAGUGCACUUGAUAUUCCUUGUGGGGAUGUGCUAAAGAAAAAUAGUCAGGAGCCCAGAGCUCUUGCUUGUGUAUUGGGAGGUGAGAAAAAAGUUCUUGGGAGGACACCUCUUCUGGUGGGACUCGGGGAAGAGCUGUGUGUUUGGAUGCACUGAGGACGGGAUGGGGAAAGGAGGAGGGGAUUUAGUUGGUUUGUGUCUGCCUGUUUACAGGGUUCUUGUAUGUUUCUCUGGUUGUUUUAUAUAUUUUUAUAUUUAUAUUUAUAUAUGGGUGGGGGGGGUGGGGUGUGUGUGCACCUUUCUCUGUACAUCUGGUCUGGUGCUGUAGAGAGGCAAGAACUGGCAGACUGAAAAUGCCCCAGUACAGCGAGGAGCUUGUGGUGUUCAACCUUGAGCAGCGUGACUCAGCUGGUUAUUUCUGUUGCCUGAUGCCUAGCUGUGUCACAACUGUGAGACUUAAUUUGGCUCCUGCUUACUGAGCUGCUGCUUUUGCUAGAUCAUAAGGGGAAAGGGAGGUUUUGCGAUUGCAGAUUUGGAAGGUGAAAUUAUGCAGGUCCCUAGGUGAACCAAGUGUCUUACCUGUUCUCUGCAUGUAUUUUUUGUAUCUGGUUGAAAAAGCAAGGGUGUUGAAUGAGUACAAAGAGAUCUCUGCUUUUGUAAAUCUAGUUAUGCACAAGUGAGUAGUUGUUACUUGCAGAGGAUAUGUACAAAUGUUUUAUUUCCUACUGAAGAGUUCACGUAUUGGAAAUGAAAAUUGGUGCUCAGGUUGCAAGAAAACACAAUCUUGAAGAGCAGGUAAUAACUGAAUAAUAGAUGACUGGAUGCAGGCAUCCUCUUGGGAAGAAUCACCGAGAUAUAAGCAGCAGAAACUAACAAUUAAAGGUCAGGAUUGGCGUUCUGUUGGCAUGAGGAGGAGAAUGAUGAGGAAUUUAGCCUGCCUACAGCUGUGAGAUCAGCAGCGGAUGUCUGCUGGGCUGUAAGUGCAAAGAGCAUUCGUUCUGCCUGUCUCCAACAAUUGCAGCCUAUCAAAGCAAAUAACUGUUGGAGGGUUUGGCGUUUGGAGGAUGGACAAAAAGACAGCAAAAUGGAGUUAAGAUGUGGAAAGACAGUAUACUGAAGGGGGGGGUUGUGAUACUGCUGUUAUUAAUACUUUAGCACGAGAGUGUGGUUUAAGGUGAUGCUUUGCAGAUGAUUGAAGACUUCAGGAGUAUUGAAAGGGAAGCAAGGAGAAUGGCCAGAUACCCAUUUUGUUGUGGUUCCGCUCAAGGAAGGACAGUGAGUAGAAGAUCUCUGAGGUGAGAUGGCCAGGUAAGUGAAGCAGCGAGUUUUGGAUUGGGUGUAAUGUUUCAACCCUGUCAUUCUUUCCUCUCUGUGUCAAGCUAUGGUUUGGGUAGUCCGUGUCUCAAAAUCAAAGCCAAAAUCUGGUCUUGCAGAGUUUGAAGGCUCAGCAUUCUAAAAAUAAAUACCUCUGCUCAGCCAUGUAUUUUAGAGUGGGAUUCAUCCUCUGGACUCAAGCAAUUAAAAAUCUUGGCGCCCAGUCCAAGCCCAUCAGUAAGAGACUUCAGAAGACAAUUCAACGGCCGCUAAAAUGUAUGAGAUUUACUCUGGUGGAGGUGCCUGUCUCUCACUGCUGACCACAGGGGACUUCACUUGUGUAUGUUAAAUGAGACGCAUAACUUCUAGAAAACCAAGGUAAGUGUACAUUGCACGCCUGGCGCCAGGACAUCUGCGCUUGCACAAGACUAGCUGACUCCUGACACGGAUUUUGGAGCAUCUCACCCAGGGAUGUUACAGCAUCCUUCCCAUGCUGAACACCUGGGCGGUUUGCACAUGGAGAAUGUCAAAACACGGUGAGAUGCAACAUGGUACAGAAUUGCCCAGACUUGUUAAGAGCCAAGCUAAUGAGUCCGUCAGACACCUCUGCGCUGUGUUUGGCGCUUAGCUGAGGAGUAAUGCGCUCUGCUGGGUGCUCUGCACGGUGGUGGUAUGUCUCGACAGGAAUCCUGAGUGCCCAGCAAAGCUGCAGAUGCAUUUGAACGCUAGAUAAAGAAUUUCUAAAGUAGAGCCGAACGUUUGUUGUGAACGGGUUGCAAAUGAUGCUGUGAACGCGGGCAUUCCCGUGCCGUGUCUUAUUUUGCUGUCGUCCCACUGCAACUUCAGUGGGAUCUACUGAGUUGGGUGGCAGUGGGGAGGAAGCACCUGCCUGCAGUAAGGGCUGAAACGGUUUAUUCUAGAAUGUUUUAGCAUCACAGCAGACAAAAUGAGAAGUUCCUUAAGGAAAUAAGUAUGUACAGUGAAUCGUAAGAGAAGAGGCAAUGACAGACAACUCCCAGCACACAUUCAGUAGGGAGCCAUUUAGUGUAGGUUACAUACUGCUAAUUUAAAGAAGAAAAAAAAAAAAAAAAAAAAAGCUAGUUAAGCCAUAUAUAUCACUUAGAGCUGCUUUGGAAGUCUGACUUUACAGAGGAACCUGGUGUUUUAAUAGAUUUAAAUAAAGACUUUGAAAACUUCUUGUGGAAUGGAAUUUUCAAAAAGUUAUUCUAGAAAACUUGCACGGAGUAAUUUUGCCACGGCUAGUAUUUUAAAUUAAAAAUUGGUAGGUUUGGGCCUUUUUUCACAUGUUGUUUUGAUUUUAUUUUGCCACGUGCUACAAUACAGUUGUUUUGUUCUUUUUUUUCAGUUUCAAUAAAACACAAACCGAGGUACUUUUUUAAUCUGAAAGAAAGGAAGGUAGCAGUGCGCUCUACUGACUGUAUAGCUCUUCAGAUGUUGCUGUGCUACACUGUACUAUGGUUUAUACAUCCUAAAAAAGAUGUACAAAUCGUAUUAAAGUGAAAAUCCCUGAUCAAAACUUACCACUUCUAGAAAUUCAGAUAUGUAAAAAUAAUUCGUGCUCUGGAAGACAUCUCGUAGCACAGAAAAGAACACGUUCUUGAAGAUCAAGGCAACUUAAAACCUGGACUGCAGAAACACGCUGGUGUCUCCUGCGGGAGGCAAACCCUCGGGCUCAGGGGUCAGUUUGCUGCAAAUUCAUUUAAGUUUAGUGUUUAUGCGGAGCCACAUCCUCAAGUUCCACCAAAACCACUGGGGAAAUGUCAUUCCCUCAUCAAAGCUCGUAUGGCUAAACAGGUGGGUUUUCUGCCAGGCGUUGGGAGGUACUGUGAUAAACCCCAUCAUAAACCAUUGGGGCGGGAGGGAUGAGCUGGGAUGCUGCAGGGAGCUUGUCUCUUAAAAUGCGGUUGGUUAUAUUUCUUUUUUGCAAUAUCAUAACUGCACCUGUUGAAGAAUAGUUGGAUGCUGAUGGUUAAGAAGGUAUCAAAAAACCCAGGAGGGAAGGAUAAGAAAGGUCAGAGUUAGCAGCGGUACCUGCCGCUUACCUUGGCCAUGAUUCUGAUUUUUUGAAGGCUUUUGGAAGUGAAUGGAAGACUACUCAUUUUUGUGCAAAAGCUGGUUUAUGAUAUUUAACAACUUCUGCUUUUCAUUUGGCAAAAGUGGAAUUACCUUUUCUUCUGAGUUAGAAGAUAUUUUAAAACCUCCGGCUCCAGCAUGAAAGGAUCAUGCACAGGAAAUUUUUUUCUUUAUGUGCAAUUGGAGAGUAGUUAAAUGAUGUUAGUGGGAGUUUUAAGCUGCUUCCACGAGUCCUAAUGCUGCGGCAGUAAAGACAAAGCAGGAGGGACAAAAGGGAUGAGAUGGCAUUUUGAGAGAGAAAUUAAUCCAGUGACAUGAAUUGUUGGGACAAAAGGCUUUUGUGGAGAAAGCUGCCCUGGGAAGCCUGGAUUUUAAGGCUGUAAUUGGAAUUUUAACUUGGGGACAGAUCCUUAGCUGGGGAAAAUCUCCACUGUUGCAAUUGGGCCAGGUCAAUUAGUUUCAGUGUAAUCAGAGGGCCAGUAAAAACCCGCGUGCAGCUGGUCCUUCCACCCCUGCGGGUACAGUGGCUCUCGCUGUCCGCGCCGGGAGCCGAAGACUUGGACCAGCUGUGCCGGCUUUGUGGAACGGCUGGAAAAGCCAGUUCUGUCCAACCUGAACUUUGAGCUCUAGAGAAAACGUCGCUUAAUUUUAGUUUUUAGAUGAGAACCUAGUAAUAAUAAAAAAAGCAAGUAUCUUCUUUUUUAAAAUCUAUAAUAAAGAAAGUGGAACCUUACGGAGUGCAGCCUGGCCAGCAGAUAGGGGCUGCUGACCUAAGGUGUCAGAUUUUGUCCCAUCUCUACCGCUUUCUCAUCUCGUCCAAUUUUCCAGUACCUGCUCAGCUCCCUAACCUUUGAGAAGAACGGAGCUUGAAGAAACGUGAGGCAUAAAGCCCUCAGCUCCCUGCCAGGGCAGCUGGGUCCUCGGCUGCGGGGAGGAGCUGGUCCCUUCCCCCUGCACACAGGGGCUCCUCGGGGGCGUCCUGGCACGUCCCACGGUCUGCAAAGGAUGGAGAGGGGUUUUCCAUUCUUUAUGCCAAGUAAGGCCUUUAUCUUGCAGAGCAAUGUCAGCGUUUAGCACCAAGAUCCCGUUCCCGGGAGCAGGACCGGUGUGACCUACACCUGACAGAUGUUGUACUGAGCUCCUGUCUGAUCAAACAAACUUUCUUCGAUCAUCUCGAUCACAUUGUCUUUGGGAUGCAGAUGGGAGCUCUCUGCCGAAGGAGACUUGUCCGUCUUGCUUACUGUAUCCUGCUGCAAAAAGAAAAAAGUAGUUUUAAUUUCUUAAGCGAGCCUGUGUGGGGUGUCUGUGCAGUCCUUCUGCGUUCCCCUGCUCCCCCGGACAAGCUGUACGUACCGUGGGGGUCUUCGGGGCAAAGUCUUUCUCGCAGACGUGUGCUAUGAUGCCAGCAGCCAGAGCAUCACCGAGGACGUUGGUCAUAGUUCGGAAUCGAUCCCUGGAGGAGAGAGAGCUAUGAGGAUGCAGUUGGUGGCCACGGCUGAUGCGCCCAGGAUCUUUUAUGGCUUUGAAAUAUGUCAUAGAAUUGUGGUUUGGGUUGGAAGGGGCCUGGAAGCCCACCCAGUUUCAGCCCCCUGCCAUGGGCAGGGACACCCCCCACCAGCCCAGGUUGCUCCCAGCCCCAUCCAGCCUGGCCUUGGGCACUGCCAGGGAUGGGGCACCCCCAGCUGCUCUGGACAGUCUGUGCCAGCAUCUCACCCCCCUCACAGUGACAAUUCUCUCCCUAAUAUCUCCUCUAAAUCGACCUUCUUUUAGUUUAAAGCCAUUCCCCCUUGUCAACCUUUAUCCCUAAUGUCUCAGCCACUGGUUUUGCGAAGGGCAGGUGGAGGUGGCUGCGUUAUUGCUCCUGCAGUGCGGAGGGACAGCGGCACGUGCGAUGGCUGCAGGGCCGGGUACCACGGGGCGCCUUCUCAGUGCAUAGACCUGCCUCUUCUACCUCCCAAACUGAUGCUGGUGUCAUUUUUGCUCAGCGUGGGGAUGAGCUGCCGCACCAACUCGUAAAACUCCUUGAGAAGCUCUUGCUGGCGCAGCCGCAGCACCACCGUUGGCCCCCGGCACAGGGAUGCCAGUGGCGUGGGUGCCCCGUGGUGAUCACCGAUGGAGCUGACCCUGUGCUCUGAUGUUACAGCUCUCCCCUGGGAAGUUAAGCUUCCUUUUAUAUGGAAGAAAGAGAAAAGCAGCCGGGACGCUCGCUGUUUCUCUGCCCAGAGUGGCUGUGAAGUGCCAGCCAGCCCCCCACAUCUCAGCUAUGGAGAACUCGGUGUUUACUCCGGUUUUUCACCAAGCUGAUUUGCUUUGUUUUUAUCCUAGUACUUCAAAACGGCAAAUUUCCAUCUGUCUGGCUUCUCUUUGUCGGUGACAAAUGUAACGAACCAUCCGUUUCUAUCUCAAGAUCAAUCUGGUCUUCAUCCAGCAAGAUGAAGAUGGUCUGCUUGGAAGGAAUAAUAUUCCACCAAAACAAGUACUGUACCGUCCACUUGGCUUUGGCUUUUGUGGAGUCCAUCCUCCUUUGCUGACAGAGUGGACCAGAGCUUGGAGAAGACCAGGACUGGAGGUAUUUUUAGGGAAUACGCUAAUGAGCAGCCUUGCAUAGUAAUGCUUCGGGAAAAGACCAGGCGCCUACUUUCCUCCUUUUCUACCACUCGCUAUGGAGGAAAGCAGCGUUCUUUUGAUUUCUCAAAAAUAUAAACAUCUCUUAGGUUUUGUUACUUGUUUGAGACCUCCAACAAAGAUGUGUUGUGUACAGUUGGAUAGGAAUUUAGAUGAAAGAUCAGGACAAGCCGGGAUUUUAGACUGGGGACCGACCUUGAGAGGGUGGCUGAACGCCAUCGCCACAUCCAGCCCGUACGAGGCACCGGGCAGCACCCUGGGACAGAAGCACCUCGGGGCAAACACUCCUCCAGGAGAUGUAGUUAUCAGGGGCUAUUUCAAGAAAAUAAUUGGAAAAUGAAGAAAGACUCUCACACUCGGCUCCUGGCCUGGUUCUGUGACCCCUCGGUCUCCGUUUGCCCCCAUGAGAGCUGCUUCGGACGUGUCAUCACGAAGCGGUGCUGAGCACCUGCCCGUACCUGCCUCCCGAGAACACUUACAGCGCCCAGUCCACUGCGAUGAUGAGGGUGAUGUCAUCAGUCGGCAGCCCCACAGAAGAGACACUUCAGGGUGAUGGGCAAGGUUGCGGAGCUGCGGAACAAGGAGCGGUCAGUCAAUUCCUGCUGCUUGCGCCGGGCUUCACGGACGGGAGGCAACGCGAUGGUGCAGGGAUAGGAGUUCUCCUGCCGCACAGAGACCUGAGCUGUCACGCAGGAGCCAGGACAAGGACGGGGAGGAAGAAGACCCAGUGGGAGGAAGGAAACGAGUGUGGAGAAGAAGCUGAUGGGAGAUGGGGACAGCUUUUCCGAAAGGAGCUGGCUGGAGAGCGGGAUGCAACUGCCCCUGCCGUGGGGCUGGGCUGGGGGCACAGCUCCCCCCACCCGUGUCGGUGUGGGGCAGAGACCCUGGUGGAGCCGGAGCCCCAAGCUCAGCCCAGAGCAGGCAGGGGCACCCGCAGCGGUGGGUGCCGGGGGAGGUGGGCACCGCCGGGGGAGUUUGUUGGGGUUACAUGAAGAACCGACAUUGGAGAGGCCAGAAGAACCCUGCGGAGGCAAAUGUUUUCUAAGAAAAUGUUUCGGUUUGUGUGUGUCUCCCAGAAAGGUCCGUAGUUCCUAAUGUAAAUUUUCUUCAUUGUUAUAAAGAAUGUUUUUCAAGGAAAAUUAAAUAGAUAAAAAUAA